GGACACAGACGUCAGCAGCUGCGAAGAGGCCUGGCCUGGCCGUGCUGCACCCUCAUCUCUGCCUUUCAGCCUCCAGAAUGGUGAGAAAAACACUUCCUUUGCUUAUCAGUCACCCAGUCUAGGGUUUUUGUUACAGCAGCCCAGAUGGACUAAGACCACCUGCUCAAUCGUUUGUUUCUCAGAUGAAUAAGAACUCUGCCAGGGAAGAGACCUUCCCCAAAACCCCUCACGGGGGACGCUGGUUUUAGUGAUGUCUGCUUUCUAAGUGAGAGCCAUGAUUCAGGAUUGGAGAUGGUGUUUCUUCUCAGUUCUUCGUCCCACAUUUACUUGCUUGGAAUCUGCUCUGUGCCUGGCACUGCACCGGGCACCCUUUAGAUAAGGAUGAGCCCUGAAAAGUGGGAGCAGACGGCUUAAUGGAGCCUCGUUGUGACUCACCCCAGUGGGAAGGUUGAGGCACCUGCCUCGGGGGAAUCCACAGCCAAGAUAAAGCAUCACCCACCAGGCGUGGGGAUGGUCGAGCGUCACCAGAAUGAUGCAGGGUGGAAGGCACACGCCACAGCUCCCUCACUCUAGAAGGAUGUUUUUGAGAAGUCUACCUGCUCCCCAGAGGCAUGGGGCAGCCUAGUUCUCUCUUCCCCUCUUUUCUUUCUUCGCUCUCAAUUCCCCAUCUGUGAGUCACUCGGUAUCAGUCCACUAAACUCUUCUCAGCCCAUGUCAGCAGGAACCAGCUGGCUUUGUGGGGGAAAAUACCAACCUAGCUGUCUGCACAAGGAUGGUAAGAAUUAGAACCUUGGGUCCCAUACCUCCAGCUCACAUCUGGAGAAACUGAAGGGGAGACUUUGAAAUUUGGGGUCAAGGAAGCCUUGUAGCUUUUUGAUUAACAGCACGAGUUCUUGAGUCACCUGGCCUGGAAGAAAAAGCCCACCUCGGCCGUUUAGUUACUGAUUGAUUUCGACCCAUCACUUCACUCACCAAGCUUCAGCUCCUCCUCUCUGACUAUAGGACAAGAUCAGUACCACGCUCCUAAGGCCAGCGAUGCUGCAAAAUGCAUAAUAACCUUUGGUUGUUAUUUUAGUGAUGAUUCUUCUAGAUUUCUCCUGAGAAGUCAUGCAAAACAGGAAUGUGAAUUGCAAAAAAGAUGCUGAGCAGGAAGGCACUAAAGAAAGCCUUUCUCCAAAGGGGAUGUUUAUUUCAGAGGCACACAGGGGGAAGCUCCACCAGCUGUUUUCCAGGAAAUCAUCCACUUCACCCAGGGUGGGGAUAUGGACAAGACAGAGUCCCGGCCUCCCUGGAAACUGGUGUGAGGAAGUCCAGUCAGCAACACAACUGAGAGAGACCCCGCCGUGCCCAGUAGUGCCAGGCAUAGUGAAGUUAAGGCAGCUUUGGAGGAUGGAUUAGCAGGAGAGGGAGGCGAGCGCUGGAGUAGGAAACCCAACUGGCAGCCGGUCCACCGCUGUCCAGCAAAUCCGGUGUUGACUCGGAAGGUCAGUGGAGACGGAGGGAGUUGAGAGAUGUGGGAUCUGCUUUGGAGGCAGAGACAACAGAAUGGGAGAAAGGAAUCCAGGAUGACGCCGACGUCUUGGGGAGGCGCUGCUGAGGAGUGUGAGUGAGGUCCCGCCUGACUCCAGCUAGUGGGCUGCUGCCUUCUUCUGGCUUCCGAACCAGAAAGGGAGAGAGAGGGACAUCUUCUGCUUUUGAUUCUAUAACUUUUCCGUACAUUUUGAAGUUUCUAACUAUAGGCACAUAUUUUUAUUAUGUUUUUUAAUAAGUUUAUUUAUUUAUUAUUUUGUCUUUUGAGGGUCGCACUCGCAGUCUAUGGAAUUUCCCAGGCCAGGGGUUGAAUUGGAGCUGUAGCUGCCAGUCUACGCCACAGCCACAGCAGAUCUGAGCCACAUCUGUGACCUACACCACAACUCAUGGCAACGCCGAAUCCUUAACCCACUGUGCAAGGCCAGGGAUCAAACCUGGGUCUUCAUGAAUACUAGUCAGGCUUGUUACCCCUGAGCCAUGAUGGGAACUCUCUAUUAUUUGUUUUCUUAUUUAAAUAUCAGCAGGGCUUUUCUGAUCAAUAAGCUGAGAAUCCAUUUUUAUCUUCUUCAUUAGAUUUUAUUAAAAAAAAACCUGUUAAAGUGAAUAAAUGAUUAACUGCCUGAAAUAUUUAACUUGCCAUGCCAAGCCAAUUAAAUAUAAUGUUACACUUGAAAAGACAAAGGUCAUUUAAAGAGUGCAAGAAUUCCUCAACCCACACCAAACUGCUACCAGCCUGCUAGUGCCCACAAAGUUUGCCCGGACAAUAACCCUUUUAUUCAACAGAUAUCUGAGUGCCUACUGUGUACCAGGCAUUGUUCUGAGUACCAGUAGAUAAAACAAAGCUCGCAGUGAGUCACAGACUAGAUUCAAGUUGGAGGAAACACAAUUAGUAAGUAGACAUUAUAUACAAACAUGUAACAAGUGCUGCAUUGAAAAAUUAAAGAAGGGCUGGGUGGCGAGUGACCGGUGGAGAUGGAGGGUGUGCACAGAACACAUGCCACAGUCGCAUCACUGCAGAGAAAGGUCAGGAGGCCUGAGGAGGCAGAGACUUCAGCAGUGACCUGGAUGGAGGCAAGGAAGGGAUGAGCCACACCAAGAGCUGAAGGACGGACCAGGAAAGGCCCUGAAAUGGGAGAGCUGGAAACCAUUAUCGGUCUUAAGGAACAGGAUCCUGGGACGCGUUGUGUGCAGUCUGCUCUGAGACGCUGACCAGCAGGAGCGGCACUCUGACAGGCCAGCGAUGGCAGACCUCAACCAAAUAAAAGUUAUGCAAAGUGUCAACCAAAAGAGCAAUGAUGAGCUUGGCGUGGGCCAUGGCUGAACCCGACUGGAGACCUCUGCGGCCCUCACACACAGCCACGGGGAGCUCACAGCCAUGAUUCAGUACGGCGCACAGCAGACAGAGAGGAGACACCUUACCUGUAUCAUCUACAGAUACCGCUUGAAAAAUCACACGUAAUUAGGCCCUUCUCACAGGGGAAGCUACUCGAAGCUCUAUCACCAGCUGUCCUCUAAAAACAGCAGCUCCGCGCUACCUAACUGAAGGAAAACGCAAUGGUGGGAGAUGUACUGACAUCUGCAGGGUGGCCCUGAGGUGGCUUCCCCCCCAGACUGUUCUGCUCCAUUAAUCCUGGUGCAAGAAAUAAGAUGUCGUGGUCACUAGGUGCCACCCCUGCUUGUCCUCCAUUGGCCCUUGCUGUACACAGGCAUACAUUUCCCUUGAGCAACGUCAGAUGAGAAAGUGAUUUCAUUUCCAUCACAGGGGAGAAGACAAACAGAAGACCCAGAGGCAGCGACUUGCUUGGAGGCCUCCAAGGCUGUCAGGAAGCAGGAUGCAAGCAGAGCCUUGAAACAUGUUUGCACCAUGGGUCUGGCUCUUUUUGCACGUCCAGCAUGGCCAUGAGAAGCGGCUGCCUAUUUAUCCAAAAAGGAUGAAAGACACCUGGAGCAGACCUGGAUGCAACCCACAUCUUGAAGUCCUGACGAGCCUGGAUCACCUGAAAACCAGCCAACUUGCAGAUGCUGUUGUGAGAAAAUUGAGGAAUGAAAAGGAUACGUGACUUACCCAAACAAUGGCCAUGUCGUGAGAACAUUCAAGAAAAACUCCACAUGGUGAAGAACUGAGGCCUCCAGCCAACAGCCGUGUGAGUGCACCAUCUUAGAAGCAGAUGCUCCAACUGCAGUCAAGCUUUUAGAUGCUGGCAGCCUCGACCAACAUCCUGACUGUACUGUGACUACUUGGGAGAGAGCUUGAGCCAAAACCGUCCAUCCAGACUGUUCUCAGUGAUUCCUGACCUCAGAAACUGGGAGAGAAUCACACACGACUGGGGAUGUCCUAAUUUCCAAGGAAGACCUGUGGUGGCUCAUGUUCAAACACGGCCCUUGGAUAAGGGCUGGUCUAGUGACUUUCCAACAGAUAGAAUACAACAAACAUGAUGCAACGUCACCUCAGGAUCAGAUCCUUCCACCUUUGCCAGCAGACUCUACUGNGUCACAGAGGACUGUACCUUCCACCUUUGCCAGCAGACUCUACUGCCUGCUCAGCUUAUACACUGUGAUGAAGCAAGCUGCCACGUGAGGAGGCCCCGUGUGGCAAGGAGCCUCUGACCAAGAUCAAGGAAAGACCCGAAGUCCUCCAUCCACCAGCCCUUGAGGAAACCAAUCCUACUAAGAGGUAUGUGAGCUUGGAGGCAGAUGCUUCUCCACUUGAGCCUUCAGAUGAGGCCUCAGCCUCAAGUGACCCCUCGAGUGAAGACCUGCAAGAGACCCAGCCAAGCAUGGUCCAGAUUCUGAUCCACAGAAACUGAGAGACAUGUGUGCCUUAUUAUAAGCUGCUGUGGGGGCGGGGAGUGGAUGGGAUGGGGGGGACAAUUUGUUACACAAAACAGAGGACUAACACAGACCUACCCAGUCAAUUAAUAACACAUAGAGAGGAAGGAAGGAAAGAGCUGGAUAAGGAGCUGGCAUCUCUGGAUUCUGGCCACAUUCCACCACCUAGUACAGAGGUGAUCAGAGAAAAGGCA
This 4553-nucleotide long non-coding RNA is filed under the name Sus scrofa (pig). RNAcentral describes it as "lncRNA (ENSSSCG00015067955.1)". Lineage: Eukaryota; Metazoa; Chordata; Mammalia; Artiodactyla; Suidae. The record is from RNAcentral.